Rattus norvegicus (Norway rat) is the source of this 2685-nucleotide long non-coding RNA. RefSeq lists it as uncharacterized. NCBI's taxonomy places the organism in Eukaryota, Metazoa, Chordata, Mammalia, Rodentia, Muridae. The record is from RefSeq and is a predicted model, not a curated record.
ACCUAAUUGAAAACUGAACGAGGAAUAGGAUCAAAUCAAGCUCUGUCUGCGCAACUGUGAAAAUGAAGAGCGUUGCAAAGCCAAAGAUGAUAAUUUCCUAGCAUCAUAUGCAUGUUUUGUAAGGCCAUCGAAGCGAACCUUAAGUCUAAGGCGAUCCAGACGGAGAACUCUCAGCUGCCUCUCCAGAGCUGUGUCUGCCUGUGUACCGCCGUUCUUCCCACCUGGACAACAAUAGACUAAACCUCUGAACUGUAAGACAGUUAAAUGCUUUCUGUAUAAGAGUUGCUGUGGCCAUGGUGUCUCUUCACAGAGAUAGAACAGAGACAUGACAGCAAGUCUAGAGAGAAAGAGCAUGGCUUUCUCGGAAGCUCAUCGAUUGCUUUUUCUCUUUGCCCUCUCCAUCCAUGUUCACUAUGGGGAGUCCUUUAUCUCCUACAUUCCAUGUGCACACAUGACAGUUAAGAACUCAGCUUAAGCAUCCCCAGAAGAAGAACAACAAUAUCAACCAACCAGACACCCCAGAGCUUCCAGGGACUAAACCACCAUCCCAAGAGAACACAGGGAUGGACCUAUGGCUCCAGUCGCAUAUGAAGCAGAGGAUGGCCUUGUUGGGCAUCAUUGGGAAGAGAGGCCCUUGGUCAUGGCUCUGACUUUGACUCAGUGGAGCACACGAGUCUGCCCAAGCUGUUCUGGGACACUUACUGUCUGAUUUCUCUAUGAUGAGAUUCAAGUGAACAACCAUGUAGUUCUACAUCUAUGACCUCUGUUGUGUUUCUGUCAGCUCUGAAGAGGGCAUGUCCUCAUGACAUGCUCCAUAACCCCUGGAGAAGCCAUAAUUGAACAAGCUCAUUUAUUACUCAAAAAUCAAUCAAUCAAACCAACAAACCGGGAAAUAAGGAAAUACCAGCUCAGGAGCGACGUGCCAAAGGAGUCUUCACUUUCAAUUUUAAAAUUUGAUUCUCUCAAUCUUUCCUUCUGACACCUAAUAAAAUAUAACAUCCUAAAAAUACAAGAAGUAUCCAAACUCAGGAUUUUAUGUAAACUUCUAAAGGGACCUAACCAGGAUCUGGGCCCAAGGUUUUUAAAACCUGCAGCCCAGCAUCCACAGCUGUGAUUUUGCCUGUAGAUUUUUCUCGGGAUCCCAAGGUGAUUGGUAAAGCCACAUGGUGAGCAGGCACCAGGAGACUACCAGCUGGAAACAAAGCAGAGACAUCACUUGACUAUCGAUCGCAUGUCACUUCUAAGUCUUACCCCACUGACCAAACUUCCUCUCAUUACAAUGUGUCUUCAUCUCCUGGCUUUAAUUCUAAAACAAGUCCAGGCCUGGAUUCCUGGCAUGGGGGAAUCUAGAACAACUUAGCUAUGUUCAUACACACAGAAAGGUUCAUCACAGUGGUUACUGCAGCUUUAGUAGCUGUUAUAGUCAUCACUGUCACUGCAACGGUAAUCACGUUUAUUCUAUGGGAACUACAGCAAAUGUCAGCUCCUGUUGUAGUGAAUAAUAUAAAUAAAAAGUGAGACACCAACCCACACUAUCACUGGCAGGGUAGGGCCACAUGGCAUCUGUGGGGUAUUUUCAUCUCAGUCAGCCAAACUCUGGUUUAGAGCUCUCAAAAUGUCUCCACCAGACUCUCGCUAAGUUCCCAAUUUCUGUCACAGGCAUUCUCUGGGCCCUGUGGCUAUCUCACCACCCUGGCUAGCCCCAGAAGUGACCGCCCUUCUAGUUCCCAUGGAGGGGUGUGGGUGGGGGAGCCACCACUCCAGCCCCAUUCAGACAUCUACCCCCUGUGGUUACAGUCACAACUCCCAGUAACCCGUUAAAAUCAAAACUCUAGAAGCUCAUAAUUUGUCAAUCAGAUUUAUAUCAGUAGAUUCUCAUCCCACAAAAUGUCCAUACGAUAAACUCAGAACCAAUUGGUAUUGAUAUAAACUGCCCACCUAGAUAAGACAAUUUGUCCUGUAAAAAUCCAUCUCCCAUGAAAUGUUCAUAGCUACCUGUGGCCACUUAAAGCCACACCAGACCUUCUCUGCCUCCAUCUUGGUUCUUCUUCUCCUUUCUCCUCUCUCCCCACCUUCAAAAACUCUGUCCCGGCCUUACUUUUUCACUGCCCAAUCACAGGCCUUGCCUUAUCUUGUGCCUGCCCUUAUCUGCAUAUAGACAUCUACCCAUAAGUUCCUAUCUUUAAAACAACACUACUGAAUUACAGGCACAAACCCAAACUGGCCAACAAGUCCCUAAGAGUUUUGAUGUCCUUUGAAACCAAGGCCAUGUGGCUUGGGGGACAUCAAGAACGUCCGACCUUCUCGAUUCUCUUAUCUCCACCUGUCCAAGACUGGGGUUACAGGAGCAUGCUCCCCGUUAGCUAUUUUCACGUAGGUACUCGGGAUAUUCUGACCUUAGGUCUGUGUGGUUGCAUGGGAAGCACUUUACAUCCCUCUCAGUUCCAUAGUUUAUGUCUAUUUUUAAUUGGAUUUUUAAAUUGUUGUAUUAUAGUAUUCUGGAUAUUGAUCUGUUACCUGAUGUUUUGAAAAUAUUUUCUUUCAUUCUAUGGACUGUCUUUCAAUCUCUUUUUUGAUGUACAAAAGAUUUAUUUAGGAGGAAAUCCAGUUUAACUACUUUUUCCUUUUAUAAUUAAUAUUUUGGUGUAUUAUCCAAGAAAUAAUUGUCAGAUCUAAUGUCAUAAA